GUGGGGAAUAUUGGACAAUGGGCGAAAGCCUGAUCCAGCCAUGCCGCGUGAGUGAUGAAGGCCUUAGGGUUGUAAAGCUCUUUCAGUAGGGAAGAUAAUGACGGUACCUACAGAAGAAGCCCCGGCUAACUUCGUGCCAGCAGCCGCGGUAAUACGAAGGGGGCUAGCGUUGUUCGGAUUUACUGGGCGUAAAGCGCACGUAGGCGGAUUGGUCAGUUAGAGGUGAAAUCCUGGAGCUCAACGCCAGAACUGCCUUUAAUACUGCCAGUCUAGAGGCCAGAAGAGGUGAGUGGAACUCCUAGUGUAGAGGUGGAAUUCGUAGAUAUUAGGAAGAACACCAGUGGCGAAGGCGGCUCACUGGUCUGGUACUGACGCUGAGGUGCGAAAGCGUGGGGAGCAAACAGGAUUAGAAACCCUGGUAGUCC
This 425-nucleotide ribosomal RNA is filed under the name uncultured bacterium. Its description in RNAcentral is "partial 16S ribosomal RNA". It matches the Rfam family "Bacterial small subunit ribosomal RNA", at positions 354 to 796 of the family's 1533-position model. The record is from RNAcentral.